GCGGGCCCUACCCAUUGCAAGUUCGAGCGGUAGCACAGAGAGCUUGCUCUCGGGUGACGAGCGGCGGACGGGUGAGUAAUGUCUGGGAAACUGCCUGAUGGAGGGGGAUAACUACUGGAAACGGUAGCUAAUACCGCAUAACGUCGCAAGACCAAAGUGGGGGACCUUCGGGCCUCAUGCCAUCAGAUGUGCCCAGAUGGGAUUAGCUAGUAGGUGGGGUAACGGCUCACCUAGGCGACGAUCCCUAGCUGGUCUGAGAGGAUGACCAGCCACACUGGAACUGAGACACGGUCCAUACUCCUACGGGAGGCAGCAGUGGGGAAUAUUGCACAAUGGGCGCAAGCCUGAUGCAGCCAUGCCGCUUGUGUGAAUAAGGCCUUUUUUUUGUAAUU
This 392-nucleotide ribosomal RNA is filed under the name Klebsiella pneumoniae. RNAcentral's name for it is "bacterial SSU rRNA". It matches the Rfam family "Bacterial small subunit ribosomal RNA", at positions 42 to 430 of the family's 1533-position model. The record is from RNAcentral. Lineage: Bacteria; Pseudomonadati; Pseudomonadota; Gammaproteobacteria; Enterobacterales; Enterobacteriaceae.